GGUAAAAUGGCUGAUUUUAGGCAAUAAAUUGUAAAUUUAUUUAUGGGUUUUAUUAACUCUUUUACCA
Molecule: transfer RNA, 67 nt
Filed under: unidentified
Description: Strongylium kulzeri tRNA-Tyr
Source: RNAcentral